CCCCUUGACCUGCCUUUAAAAUAACCUUACAUCUAGGGCGUUCGCCUUCGGGUGGACUACGGCGCUAGAGGCCGGUAUGGAAUAAGCUGACUGGACCCGGGGGCGGUACCCGGCGCCUCCACCAUAAGCUGAUCGAGUUUGGUCGGUUUGUGAGGGGGGCGAAAUAGGAUCGACAGCGGUAGUAAAGAUACAUGGUUGCGCUCGGUGAGCUACCACCGACAUCGGUGCAAACUUUACUAAAUGCCAACGACAAUCGUAUGGCUCCGGUUGCAGCUGCUGCGUAACGCAGUCGCUUGACCAAAUUCAAUUCCUGCAUAGGUGAGUCUAUGUAGGUGGGGUUCGGGGGUACCUAGCAACAGAGACCCCCACU
This 370-nucleotide transfer-messenger RNA is filed under the name Methylocystaceae bacterium. RNAcentral describes it as "Alphaproteobacteria transfer-messenger RNA". It matches the Rfam family "Alphaproteobacteria transfer-messenger RNA". From Rfam's summary of the family: Bacterial tmRNA, also known as 10Sa RNA or SsrA, is named for its dual tRNA and mRNA-like properties. Its role is to liberate the mRNA from a stalled ribosome. To accomplish this part of the tmRNA is used as a reading frame that ends in a translation stop signal. Lineage: Bacteria; Pseudomonadati; Pseudomonadota; Alphaproteobacteria; Hyphomicrobiales; Methylocystaceae. The record is from Rfam by way of RNAcentral.